RNAcentral lists this ribosomal RNA (497 nucleotides) under uncultured bacterium. RNAcentral describes it as "partial 16S ribosomal RNA". It matches the Rfam family "Bacterial small subunit ribosomal RNA", at positions 28 to 507 of the family's 1533-position model. The record is from RNAcentral.
GAUGAACGCUGGCGGCGUGCCUAAUACAUGCAAGUCGAGCGAACGGACGAGAAGCUUGCUUCUCUGAUGUUAGCGGCGGACGGGUGAGUAACACGUGGAUAACCUACCUAUAAGACUGGGAUAACUUCGGUAAACCGGAGCUAAUACCGGAUAAUAUUUUGAACCGCAUGGUUCAAAAGUGAAAGACGGUCUUGCUGUCACUUAUAGAUGGAUCCGCGCUGCAUUAGCUAGUUGGUAAGGUAACGGCUUACCAAGGCAACGAUGCAUAGCCGACCUGAGAGGGUGAUCGGCCACACUGGAACUGAGACACGGUCCAGACUCCUACGGGAGGCAGCAGUAGGGAAUCUUCCGCAAUGGGCGAAAGCCUGACGGAGCAACGCCGCGUGAGUGAUGAAGGUCUUCGGAUCGUAAAACUCUGUUAUUAGGGAAGAACAUAUGUGUAAGUAACUGUGCACAUCCUGACGGUACCUAAUCAGAAAGCCACGGCUAACUACGUG